This 468-nucleotide ribosomal RNA is filed under the name uncultured bacterium. RNAcentral describes it as "partial 16S ribosomal RNA". It matches the Rfam family "Bacterial small subunit ribosomal RNA", at positions 28 to 507 of the family's 1533-position model. The record is from RNAcentral.
GACGAACGCUGGCGGCGUGCUUAACACAUGCAAGUCGAACGGAAAGGCCCUGCUCUUGCGGGGUGCUCGAGUGGCGAACGGGUGAGUAACACGUGAGUAACCCGCCCCUGACUUUGGGAUAACUUUAGGAAACUGGGGCUAAUAUCGGAUAGGAGCUCCUGCUGCACGGUGGGGGUUGGAAAGUUUCGGCUGUUGGGGAUGGACUCGCGGCUUACCCGCUUGUUGGUGAGGUAGUGGCUUACCAAGGGUUUGACGGGUAGGCGGCCUGAGAGGGUGACCGGCGACAUGGGUACUGCGAGACGGCCCAGACUGCUACGGGAGGCAGCAGUGGGGAAUAUUGCACAGUGGGGGGAAGCCUGAUGCGGAAGCGCCGCGUGCGGGAUGACGGCCUUCGAGUUGUGAACAGAUUUGGCAUGAGACGAGGCGGGAGUGACGGUAAUGGGUCAGGAAGCACCGGCUAACUACGUG